This 253-nucleotide ribosomal RNA is filed under the name uncultured bacterium. RNAcentral describes it as "partial 16S ribosomal RNA". It matches the Rfam family "Bacterial small subunit ribosomal RNA", at positions 524 to 776 of the family's 1533-position model. The record is from RNAcentral.
UACAGAGGUCUCAAGCGUUGCCCGGAUUUAUUGGGCGUAAAGGGCGCGUAGGCGGUCACGCACGUCCGUUGUGAAAUCGCUCGGCUCAACUGGGCGGGGUCAGCGGAUACGGCGUGGCUGGAGCAAGCUAGGGGGCAAUGGAAUUCCCGGUGUAGUGGUGGAAUGCGUAGAUAUCGGGAGGAACACCAGUGGCGAAGGCGGUUGCCUGGAGCUUUGCUGACGCUGAUGCGCGAAAGCGUGGGGAGCGAUCCGG